This 441-nucleotide ribosomal RNA is filed under the name uncultured bacterium. Its description in RNAcentral is "partial 16S ribosomal RNA". It matches the Rfam family "Bacterial small subunit ribosomal RNA", at positions 338 to 795 of the family's 1533-position model. The record is from RNAcentral.
CCUACGGGAGGCAGCAGUGGGGAAUAUUGCACAAUGGGGGAAACCCUGAUGCAGCGACGCAGCGUGAGUGAAGAAGUAUUUAGGUAUGUAAAGCUCUAUCAGCAGGGAAGAAGAAAGACGGUACCUGACUUAUAAGCCCCGGCUAACUACGUGACAGCAGCCGCGGUAAUACGUAGGGGGCAAGCGUUAACCGGAUUUACUGGGUUUAAAGGGAGCGUAGAGGGGUGGGCAAGUCUGAAGUGAAAGCUCAGGGCUCAACCCUGGGAUUGCGUUGGAAACUGUGGGGCUAGAGUGCUGGAGAGGUAAGUGGAAUUCGUAGUGUAGCGGUGAAAUGCGUAGAUAUUAGGAGGAACACCAGUGGCGAAGGCGGCUUACUGGACAGUAACUGACGUUGAGGCUCGAAAGUGUGGGGAGCAAACAGGAUUAGAUACCCUGGUAGUC